UACGGAGGGUGCAAGCGUUAUCCGGAUUCACUGGGUUUAAAGGGUGCGUAGGUGGGAAUGUAAGUCAGUGGUGAAAUCUCCGGGCUUAACCCGGAAACUGCCAUUGAUACUAUCGGUCUUGAAUACCGUGGAGGUGAGCGGAAUAUGUCAUGUAGCGGUGAAAUGCUUAGAUAUGACAUAGAACACCAAUUGCGAAGGCAGCUCACUACACGAAUAUUGACACUGAGGCACGAAAGCGUGGGGAGCAAACAGG
Molecule: ribosomal RNA, 253 nt
Filed under: uncultured bacterium
Lineage: Bacteria
Description: partial 16S ribosomal RNA
Rfam family: Bacterial small subunit ribosomal RNA
Source: RNAcentral